Molecule: unclassified non-coding RNA, 331 nt
Filed under: uncultured fungus
Lineage: Eukaryota; Fungi
Description: partial contains small subunit ribosomal RNA, internal transcribed spacer 1, and 5.8S ribosomal RNA
Rfam family: Eukaryotic small subunit ribosomal RNA (bases 1-73)
Source: RNAcentral
GCAAACUUGGUCAUUUAGAGGAAGUAAAAGUCGUAACAAGGUUUCCGUAGGUGAACCUGCGGAAGGAUCAUUACAGAGUCCCUUUAAAGAAGGGGGGAAGGAGGUUGUAGCUGGCUCCUAUCGGAGCAAUGUGCACGCCACCGACCUCACUUUGUUUUCAUUUUACACCUGUGAACUGCUCGGUAGGGGUGUGUGCCCUUACGGUUACCCAUUGACACCUGUCUUUUGAAUGAGGGUUGCGUCGUCGCUCACCUAAGAUGUUGGGCGACGUCCUAAAAAUACAACUUUCAACAACGGAUCUCUUGGCUCUCGCAUCGAUGAAGAACGCAGC